GCUCAGGGAUGAGGGUAUGAGUCUUAGUCGUCUUAACCUCUUGAUCUUCACAUCUUUUUACCAAGAAUGCUAGGAAUUGUAUGAACUGGUAAUUAGGGACAGGCUUAUUUACCGAGGGGUCGGGUUUAUGUGGUUUAGUGAGGGACGUUGGCAUUAAUUCAUAAAGAAGAAUUCUUAUAUACAUGAGAGGAACUUGGUGAAAUCUAACCCCAACAACAUAUACAUCUCAUAUAAAUCAAUCUUUGUUCAUCUUUGUGCUCUUUUGCCAUUGAUCAAUUGCAAUUUUAUUUUCUUUAUUACUUUUUCAUCCCAAACCCAUGAUUUCUUUUAUUUUUAGUCUUAAUUAAUCUUUUUUUGACACAAACAUUCAGCGCCGAGAGUCCUCUAGGAUACGAUACUUGGUCUUACCAUUUUAUAUACUUGUGUGACUCGGUACACUUGCCGAUUUCCCCCAACAAGUUUUUGGUGUCGUUGUCGGGGACUCACGGUUUAAGCUAUUCUAUUUGUAUGAUUCUUGAUUAAUUUUGACUUUAUUUUAUUUUAUUUUCUUAUUUUUAUUUUUCCCAUUUUUAAUUUUUAUUUUUCAAUCCCUAAUUUUUAUUUUUUCUUAUUUUUAUUUUUGUACUAACAAUCUCUCUCUAGAAUUUUGUACAGGGAUUUGAAGGAGGCCUAAAGGAGAUAGAUUAUCUAGAGAACGUUCUCGAGAGAAAAUUUCACAGGCCUCAUAAUAUGAUCUAACAAGGAUGCAAUUCUACCAAGAUAAUUUGAACUACUGGUGGGAACCUCACUCAAGCACAAAUCAAAUUCAAUAUGGGCAACUUGGUGGACUAUUCACUAGACCACCACAGGCUAACAGUGCUACAAAGCUUGAAGAGACCCUUCAGUGGUUCAUGCAGGAAUCUCUCUCAAUUCAAGAAAGCACUCAAGCAGCAUCUGAAAGGA
RNAcentral lists this long non-coding RNA (942 nucleotides) under Vigna radiata. RNAcentral describes it as "long non-coding RNA (VRAD_LNC006104)". The record is from RNAcentral. Lineage: Eukaryota; Viridiplantae; Streptophyta; Magnoliopsida; Fabales; Fabaceae.